This 253-nucleotide ribosomal RNA is filed under the name uncultured bacterium. RNAcentral's name for it is "partial 16S ribosomal RNA". It matches the Rfam family "Bacterial small subunit ribosomal RNA", at positions 524 to 776 of the family's 1533-position model. The record is from RNAcentral.
UACGUAGGGUGCAAGCGUUAAUCGGAAUUACUGGGCGUAAAGCGUGCGCAGGCGGUUUUGUAAGUCUGUCGUGAAAUCCCCGGGCUCAACCUGGGAAUUGCGAUGGAGACUGCAAGGCUAGAAUCUGGCAGAGGGGGGUAGAAUUCCACGUGUAGCAGUGAAAUGCGUAGAGAUGUGGAGGAACACCGAUGGCGAAGGCAGCCCCCUGGGUCAAGAUUGACGCUCAUGCACGAAAGCGUGAGGAGCAAACAGG